This 77-nucleotide transfer RNA is filed under the name Salmonella enterica subsp. enterica serovar Infantis. RNAcentral describes it as "tRNA-Arg". It matches the Rfam family "tRNA". From Rfam's summary of the family: Transfer RNA (tRNA) molecules are approximately 80 nucleotides in length. Their secondary structure includes four short double-helical elements and three loops (D, anti-codon, and T loops). Lineage: Bacteria; Pseudomonadati; Pseudomonadota; Gammaproteobacteria; Enterobacterales; Enterobacteriaceae. RNAcentral also lists the same sequence under 5 other names. The record is from RNAcentral.
CGGGGCAUAGCUCAGUUGGAUAGAGCAACGGCCUUCUAAGCCGUGGGUCGCAGGUUCAAGUCCUGCUGUCCUGACCA